Molecule: non-coding RNA, 112 nt
Organism: Acanthosepion pharaonis
Lineage: Eukaryota; Metazoa; Mollusca; Cephalopoda; Sepiida; Sepiidae
Source: the annotation of a GenBank genome assembly
UUACGGCCAUAUCACGUUGAAACAUUGGUUCCCGUACGAUCAUCGAAGCCACACAAUGUCGAGCCUGGUUAUUACCUAGAUGGGUAACCGCUUGGGAAUACCACCAGCUGUA